GAUCAGGUUGUUGGUGGGGCAACGGCUCACCAAGCCUAUAACCGGUACGGGCCGUGAGAGCGGGAGCCCGGAGAUGGGCACUGAGACAAGGGCCCAGGCCCUACGGGGCGCAGCAGUCGCGAAAACUCCGCAAUGCGCGAAAGCGUGACGGGGCUAUCCCGAGUGCCGUCCGCUGAGGAUGGCUUUUUCUCGGUGUAAUGAGCCGGGAGAAUAAGGAGAGGGCAAGUCUGGUGUCAGCCGCCGCGGUAAUACCAGCUCUCCGAGUGGUAGGGAUGAUUAUUGGGCUUAAAGCGUCCGUAGCCGGCUUGGCAAGUCUCCUGUUAAAUUCAGCGACCUAAUCGUUGAGCCGCGGGAGACACUACUAGGCUAGGAGGCGGGAGAGGCCGACGGUAUUUUUGGGGUAGGGGUGAAAUCCUAUAAUCCCAGGAGGACCACCAGUGGCGAAGGCUGUCGGCUAGAACGCGCUCGACGGUGAGGGACGAAAGCUGGGGGAGCGAACCGGAUUAGAUACCCGGGUAGUCCCAGCUGUAAACGAUGCGGGCUAGGUGUUGGGGUGGCUACGAGCCACUUCAGUGCCGCAGGGAAGCCAUUAAGCCCGCCGCCUGGGGAGUACGGCCGCAAGGCUGAAACUUAAAGGAAUUGGCGGGGGAGCACCACAAGGCGUGAAGCUUGCGGUUCAAUUGGAUUCAACGCCGGAA
RNAcentral lists this ribosomal RNA (698 nucleotides) under uncultured archaeon. RNAcentral's name for it is "bacterial SSU rRNA". It matches the Rfam family "Archaeal small subunit ribosomal RNA", at positions 223 to 923 of the family's 1478-position model. The record is from RNAcentral.